CGAUGAAGUCGCGGAGCCGAAGCGAAAGCGAAUCUGAAAAGGGUGGUAAGUAUCAUGUCGUAGACCCGAAACCGAAUGACCUAACCAUGAGCAGGUUGAAGCAAUGGUAAAACGUUGUGGAGGACCGAACACACGCCUGUUGAAAUAGUCGGUGAUGACUUGUGGUUAGCGGAGAAAUUCCAAACGAAUUCGGAUAUAGCUGGUUCUCCUCGAAAUAGCUUUAGGGCUAGCCUCGCGAGACAGACUAUGAAGGUAAAGCACUGAAUGACCUAGGGGGCUUCACAGCCUACCGAAGUUUAUCAAACUAAGAAUGUUAUAGUUAAAGGCGCGGGAGUCAGACAGCGACAGCUAAGUGCCGUUGUCAAAAGGGAAACAGCCCAGAUCUACAGCUAAGGUCCCGAAGUACAGGUUAAGUGGAAAAGGAUGUGACGAUGCAAAGACAACCAGGAUGUUGGCUCAGAAGCAGCCACGCAUUAAAAGAGUGCGUAAUAGCUCACUGGUCGAGUGACGUUGCGCCGAAAAUUAACGGGGCUCAAACCUGACACCGAAGCUUAGGAAUACUUUAAGGAGUAUUGGUAGAGGAGCAAUGUAUACGAGAAGAAGGCGUACCGGAAGGAGCGCUGGAUUGUAUAGAAGAGAGAAUGCCGGCAUAAGUAGCGAGAGCGGAGCGAGAAACUCCGCCGUCGAAAGUCUGAGGUUUUCCGGGGAAGGUUCGUCCGCCCGGAGAAAGUCGGGACCUAAGCGGAGGCCGAAAGGCGUACGUGAUGGACAGCAGGUUGAUAUUCCUGCACUACCGAGAGAGAUAAUGAAGCAAUGACACGGAAAGAUAGAAGAAGCGCGCGGAUGGAAAAGCGCGUCCAAGCAAAGAGGGUGGCUGGUAGUAAAGAACGCCAGUCGGAAGCCUGAUUUGUGACGGGGAGUGGACCAAGGAAACGAAGUCUUUGAAUCUACGCCGGCGAGAAAAGUUGCUAAAUAUUUCGAGGUACCCGUACCGCAAACCGACACAGGUAGACGAGAAGAAAAUUCUAAGACGAACGGGAGAACCCUUGUUAAGGAACUCGGCAAAACGACCCCGUAACUUCGGGAGAAGGGGAGCCAUCGAGAGAUGGCCGCAGUGAAGAGGCCCAAGCGACUGUUUAUCAAAAACACAGGUUUCUGCUAAGGCGAAAGCCAAGGUAUAGGAGCUGACUCCUGCCCAGUGCCGGAAGGUCAAGGGGACUUGUUAGCAGCAAUGCGAAGCAACGAACUUAAGCCCCGGUGAACGGCGGCCGUAACUAUAACGGUCCUAAGGUAGCGAAAUUCCUUGUCGGGUAAGUUCCGACCCGCACGAAUGGAGUAACGAUUUGGGCGCUGUCUCAACAGGGGGCCCGGCGAAAUUGUAGUAUACGUGAAGAUGCGUAUUAACCCGCGACUGGACGGAAAGACCCCGUAGAGCUUUACUGUAGCUUGAUAUUGAAUCUCGGCAACUGAUGCACAGAAUAGGUGGGAGACAGAGAAGCAGCGUUUUCGGGCGCUGCGGAGUCAACUUUGGGAUACCACUCUUCGGUUGCUGCGAUUCUAACCGAAAACCGUGAAACCGGGUUCGGGACAUUGUCAGGCGGGCAGUUUGACUGGGGCGGUCGCCUCCUAAAGAGUAACGGAGGCGCUCAAAGGUUCCCUCAGAAUGGUUGGAAAUCAUUCGACGAGUGUAAAGGUAUAAGGGAGCUUGACUGUGAGACUGACAAGUCGAACAGGUGCGAAAGCAGGACUUAGUGAUCAGGUGGUAUGAGAAUGGAAUUGCCAUCGCUUAACGGAUAAAAGUUACCUCGGGGAUAACAGGCUUA
Molecule: ribosomal RNA, 1823 nt
Filed under: human gut metagenome
Description: bacterial LSU rRNA
Rfam family: Bacterial large subunit ribosomal RNA
Source: RNAcentral